AGCGGCGGACCGGGCUCCCAAGUCCCCUGGAAGGGCGCCGGAGAGGGUGAGAAGCCCCGUCGUGCCCGACCCUGGUCGCCCAACGAUGGCGUCUGUCCUGCCGAGUCGGGUUGUUUGGCGGGAAUGCAGCCCAAUAGGGCGGUAAUUCCGUCCCAAGGCUAAAUACUGGGCGUGAGACCGAUAGCAAACAAGGUACCAUCCCGUGUGCGAGAGUAGCGAGGGAAAGAUGAAAAAGGAACUUUGAAAAGAGAGUUAAAGAGUGGCUAUGAAAUUGUCGAGGGAAGCGACACUGGGGGCCGGCGAUGCCGUCCCGGUCGGAUGUGGAACGGUGUCAUGUCGGUUCCGCCGAUCGUCUCGGGACGUGGACCGGUGCGCGAUUGGUACUGGGGCCAAAUUUGCCCAGGCUGUUUGAUAUGCCUGUGGAGAUUGCCGUUGUGCCGAUCGGUGGUUUGGCAGCGCGCGGCCGGUCACGGCGUGCUUCGGGCACCUCGUGCUUCCUGGCCCGGCCUGCGGGCACCCCAUUCGGCCCGUCUUGCAAAACACGGACAAGGAGUCUGAAUGUGUGCGAGUGUCAACGGGUGGAGUAAACCCGCAAGCGCAGGAAGCUGAUUGGCGGUGGAUCCCCCUCGUGGGGUGCG
RNAcentral lists this long non-coding RNA (638 nucleotides) under Helianthus annuus (common sunflower). It matches the Rfam family "Eukaryotic large subunit ribosomal RNA", at positions 166 to 757 of the family's 3401-position model. Lineage: Eukaryota; Viridiplantae; Streptophyta; Magnoliopsida; Asterales; Asteraceae. The record is from RNAcentral.